This 30-nucleotide ribosomal RNA is filed under the name Trechus flavolimbatus. RNAcentral describes it as "partial 5.8S ribosomal RNA". RNAcentral also lists the same sequence under 1 other name. The record is from RNAcentral. Lineage: Eukaryota; Metazoa; Arthropoda; Insecta; Coleoptera; Carabidae.
UCCUGGACCACUCCUGACUGAGGGUCGUAA